Borealophlyctis nickersoniae is the source of this 99-nucleotide non-coding RNA. NCBI's taxonomy places the organism in Eukaryota, Fungi, Chytridiomycota, Chytridiomycetes, Rhizophlyctidales, Borealophlyctidaceae. The record is from the annotation of a GenBank genome assembly.
AGCACUUUAGCGCAGAGGAAGCGCGUUGGGCUCAUAUGCAUCGGUUUCUCCCGCUGCGGUGACACCCAAAGGCCCCAGGAUCGAAACCUGGAAGUGCUA